Molecule: ribosomal RNA, 465 nt
Filed under: uncultured bacterium
Lineage: Bacteria
Description: bacterial SSU rRNA
Rfam family: Bacterial small subunit ribosomal RNA
Source: RNAcentral
GGAGGAAAGUAGGGGAUCGCAAGACCUUGCGCUUUUGGAGCGGCCGAUGCCUGAUUAGCUUGUUGGUGAGGUAAAAGCUCACCAAGGCUUCGAUCAGUAGCUGGUCUGAGAGGACGACCAGCCACACUGGGACUGAGACACGGCCCAGACCCCUACGGGAGGCAGCAGUGGGGAAUUUUGGACAAUGGGGGCAACCCUGAUCCAGCCAUGCCGCGUGAGUGAAGAAGGCCUUCGGGUUGUAAAGCUCUUUCAGCCGGAACGAAACGGUUACGGUUAAUACCCGUGACUACUGACGGUACCGGAAGAAGAAGCACCGGCUAACUACGUGCCAGCAGCCGCGGUAAUACGUAGGGUGCGAGCGUUAAUCGGAAUUACUGGGCGUAAAGCGUGCGCAGGUGGUUUUGUAAGUCAGAUGUGAAAUCCCCGGGCUUAACCUGGGAACUGCGUUUGAAACUACAAAGCUAG